Vespa mandarinia (Asian giant hornet) is the source of this 402-nucleotide long non-coding RNA. The record is from RefSeq and is a predicted model, not a curated record. NCBI's taxonomy places the organism in Eukaryota, Metazoa, Arthropoda, Insecta, Hymenoptera, Vespidae.
CUUUUAUUUCUCGUGUUUUUUUUUCUUUUUCAUUUUUCUUCUUUACUUCAUCCUAUCAUGAUUUUCUUAUCCCCGAAGUGUAUCGUUCCUUGUUACAGAAAAUCUCAAGAAAAAGGGUGGAUAGAAAAAGAAAAGAAAGAAAAAAGAAAACAGAAUUAAUCGUUAGAAAGAACGAGAUGAUGAAUUUUUUUCGACUCGAGAGAAUUGUUGUUGAAAAAGAAAAAAGAAAAAAGAAAAAAAAGAAUCCAUAAUAGAAUAAUGAAAAUUGCAAGAGAAAAGAAAGAAUACAGUAGCAGAAUUAACGUUAGAAAAUUGAAACUAGCUGAACGUUUGUAGAUAAGAGAAUUAGCGGAAAAAGAAGAAUUUCGAAAAGAGAAAGAGUAACAAAAAGAAAAAAAAAGA